Molecule: long non-coding RNA, 804 nt
Organism: Anopheles funestus (African malaria mosquito)
Lineage: Eukaryota; Metazoa; Arthropoda; Insecta; Diptera; Culicidae
Exons: 3
Source: RefSeq, a predicted model, not a curated record
UCUCUUAGGCUUUGAGAAUUUUGGGGUCUGGUUCUGCAGAAGAAGAAAAAAAUUGCAAAAAAUUGCGUUUGUGAGUUCCCAACUGCAUGCUGCGAACCUUCGCCGAGCUGUACGAGCAUCAUGAGCGUUUAGUUGCGAAGGAAGCGCCAAACGAGCUGUACGCAAAAAUCGUGAAAAGCUGAUCAGCCAACAAACCGGAACUACGGAACGUUCUCGAACUAAGCAAGCGGAAGCAUCUGUAGUGCAACGAGGAUACCCUUUAUGAGCGUUAGUGCACGUGCAGUUUCUGUGCAUUAAAAGUGAAAUGGAUCGAAUUAUCGAAUUAGCAACCAUGGCAAUGUUUUUGAUGUGUUGUGCGUGCUUGGUAUCUCUAUGAUAUGGCGAAGAAUCCCAGACCAGGAACUGGUUUUUAGCAUCGAUUUCACCAUCAAUCGAAAUAGUGAAAAUGUUCGCUUCGUGGAUGACCGCGAUGAAAGGCUUUGGCGACCAGAAUGGUGGUGGUGGUAUUGGUGGAAAUCAACCUCAGGAAGGUGGUCAAUAUGAUGGCGCUUAGCAUACCGAGUUGGACAUCAGGGAAGUUUUCCAUAUGGCGAAAGGAACGUGUACACAGCUGGCCACAGAGUGAUGAGCACGAUUAGACCAUGGAUUCGAGGAACAAGACAACUUGGAGCUGUGGCGUACUGCAAGCGAUGAGUAAUCAGCGACAGAACAAAAAGCAGAAGUGCCUGGACCGCCUGUAUGACUCUCGUUUUUUUAAGGUCUUAACAGUACAGCAAUAAAGGAAGGUUACGCUUAUCACUCUAA